This 218-nucleotide long non-coding RNA is filed under the name Lathyrus oleraceus (garden pea). RNAcentral's name for it is "Pisum sativum (pea) long non-coding RNA (PSAT_LNC000695)". The record is from RNAcentral. Lineage: Eukaryota; Viridiplantae; Streptophyta; Magnoliopsida; Fabales; Fabaceae.
UCAAUUACAAAAGGCUUUUGGAAAUUUACAUAGACUAGCCGUAGACGCUUUUAAAAAGUUAGCUUCAAACAAAAUAAUUUUUUCACAUUUAGAAGCUAAAGUUUUAGAAAUCGAAAAUAAUAUGGAAGCUCUUAAGAAAUCUAUGGUAGAUAUUAUAAAAGACAAGAAUGAGGAUAAAGAACCUUCAUGAUUUGGUUGUGAAACUUGUCACAUUUGGC